CAGUCGCCACGGUAAUACGUAGGUGGCAAGCGUUGUCCGGAAUUAUUGGGCGUAAAGGGCUCGCAGGCGGUUUCUUAAGUCUGAUGUGAAAGCCCCCGGCUCAACCGGGGAGGGUCAUUGGAAACUGGGAAACUUGAGUGCAGAAGAGGAGAGUGGAGUUCCACGUGUAGCGGUGAAAUGCGUAGAGAUGUGGAGGAACACCAGUGGCGAAGGCGACUCUCUGGUCUGUAACUGACGCUGAGGCGCGAAAGCGUGGGGAGCAAACCGGAUUAGAUACCCCGGUAGUCCCUGUCUCUUAUAC
Molecule: ribosomal RNA, 301 nt
Filed under: uncultured bacterium
Lineage: Bacteria
Description: partial 16S ribosomal RNA
Rfam family: Bacterial small subunit ribosomal RNA
Source: RNAcentral